AACGUUGGCGUGUCUCCACGUAUAUAUGCCGGUACCUCAGAAUAUGCCCCUUAAGUAAGGCCUUGUUUAGUCCUAAAAAAUUUGCAAAUUUUUUAGAUUUCUAGUCAUAUUGAAUCUUUAAACGUAUACAUGGAGUAUUAAAUAUAUACAAAAAUAAAAACUAAUUGUAUAGUUUGGUCGGAAUUGACGAGACGAAUCUUUUGAGCCUAGUUAGUCCAUGAUUGG
RNAcentral lists this long non-coding RNA (225 nucleotides) under Sorghum bicolor (sorghum). RNAcentral describes it as "long non-coding RNA (SBIC_LNC011479)". Lineage: Eukaryota; Viridiplantae; Streptophyta; Magnoliopsida; Poales; Poaceae. The record is from RNAcentral.